UACGAAGGGGGCUAGCGUUGCUCGGAAUCACUGGGCGUAAAGCGUGUGUAGGCGGAGUUCUAAGUACCUUGUGAAAUCCCACGGCUUAACCGUGGAACUGCUUGGUAUACUGGUUCUCUUGGGCCAUCUAGGGGCUAGCGGAACAAACGGUGGAGCGGUGAAAUGCGUAGAUAUCGUUUGGAACGCCAAUGGUGAAAACAGCUAGCUGGGGAUGUGCCGACGCUGAGACACGAAAGCCAGGGGAGCGAACGGG
RNAcentral lists this ribosomal RNA (253 nucleotides) under uncultured bacterium. Its description in RNAcentral is "partial 16S ribosomal RNA". It matches the Rfam family "Bacterial small subunit ribosomal RNA", at positions 524 to 776 of the family's 1533-position model. The record is from RNAcentral.